RNAcentral lists this long non-coding RNA (4211 nucleotides) under Acanthaster planci (crown-of-thorns starfish). RNAcentral's name for it is "uncharacterized LOC110984255, transcript variant X2". Lineage: Eukaryota; Metazoa; Echinodermata; Asteroidea; Valvatida; Acanthasteridae. The record is from RNAcentral.
CAAAAAAAUGGACUCAAGGCGACUGUGGCUUGAUUCCCUUCGAUUUAUUCCCAGGUGUCAAUAAGCAAUGAAAUUGUAACCAAAAAGAAGCCAAGAAAAAAGCCCUAAAGAAAGACAGAGGACGUACUGUUACUGAGUGGUGGCUUACAUGUACGUAGUAGUAAACGUUACAUUCGCUAUGUCCAUUACAAAUUCACACUACGAAAUGUCUCUGUACAAUCAUGAAUUCUCUCACCAUGACGUCUAAAAGAUUGCCUAAAUUGGUAUGAACUCUAAAGCCAACGGAAAUUUAGGGCUUAGGUUAUCCGACAAGGAGCCAUGAUGCUGUGAAUGCCAGCUCACCAAGGUGCAGGUCUCAAGCGUGGGACUGUCACUGAGAAAAGCCCAGAAACUUCUCAGGUCCCGCCAAAAUGUAAUACAAUGUAAGCAACUUCCAGCCGAAGGGCGUGGCUUAGAGAUAAUUUAGUCUGCACGCGCAAGGGACGCUCAUACUCACGCAUUGAUCUCGUGCCAGAGACCGGCAGGUCAGAGUUCAUAUUCGCAUCAAAAGUAAUUAUCUCACCGGGGAAACCCCCAGAUCCCUACAGUAGCAGUCAAUCAAACGCUAACGUAGCGACACUCGUGGGGUGCAUUAGCAAAAGGCCCAGUUAUGUCAAGUGCAGUUUUCUGCCAUGGACCCUCCAGUAAUGGAAGUAGCUGGAGAGGGGUGUUCCUAGAGCCAGCUGUCUUGUCACUGGUUUGGCACGGCAAACAACUGCUGAUUGUCUCUUCGACCAUGCAAUCCGUCGUUGGCCACCAGUAACAAUCACGUUAUUGCUCUUUACACCGAACAGUCCUUGGUGUGUCUUCAUGCGGGUCUCUUUCUGCAAGUCAUGUUUACUAGUGGUGCUGUUUACCAACAGAACAUUCAAGGACUGAAUGAUUAUGUCAUCGUCAUUAUCCUGAAAUGAGUCUGUUGCAGCGAUGGGAAGUCGUGACAUGGCGUCCGUAGCAGCAUUACGGACACCUGCACAGUAUUCAACAGUGCAGUUGAAGCGCAUGAGACGUGCAGCUCAUUGAGCGUGAAAUGCGUACUGACUGGUGUCUGGAGCCACGAGAGGACAGCAUUGAAGUGAGGGGCUGGUGAUCUGUCCUUAGGAUGAAAUGGCGCCCCCCAAGUACUGAAACUCGCAUGCCCACACACACACGAGAGAGCUUCCUCCUCACCUACGGAAUAGUUGUAUUCUGCAGAUAACAACAUGCGAGAUGCGAAUGCAACAGGAUAUUCGCGACCUUCUCUACCUGAAUGAGGACAGCACCAAGUUUGUAGGAUGAUGCAUCAGUAGACACAGUCACAGGCAGUGCAGCGACCGAUCAGUUCCUUAUUUGUUUCAAAACUUUGCAGUGCAGCAGAAGACCACUCGAACUCGAUCAGCUCCUUUGCGAAUGAUCAUGACACGUAGAAGUUCAACUACUGUAGAGAAGGUCGGGCACAAAGCGGGCGUAAUACGAAGCGAGUAUAGGGAAAGAUCGCAGUCGUGGAUGCGUCAGUAGGAUGGGUCACGUGCUUUGUUGCAUCAACAUGGGCCCUUGUGACGAUGCAGUAUGUCCGAGAAGCGAAGGGACGACAGAUUGAACUGACACCUGGCCGCAUUACGACUCAUUCCCACAUCCCGUGAAUGCGCUUCAGGACGUUUGUCAUGUUCAGCAUGGUUUCGGCUACACAACAAUGUCAUCUUUAAGUAGGCCUGCACAUCUGGUAGCCCACUAAGUACAGAUGACGUCAGUUUCUGGAAUGCUGCUGGUGCUGAAGCAAGACCGAAGCAAACCCGUCGGAAGAGAAGCGGUCCUUCGUGGGUAAUGAAGGCAGUGUAGUCGCGAGAUUGUUUUGAAAGCUCAAUUUGAUGAUAAGCUAAAUUGAGAUCAAGUGUUCUGAAAACUGUUGCAUUACGUAGUUCUGCUAAGAGUUCUUGUAGGUCUGGAAUUGGGAAAGUGUCAACGACGACAGUGCGAUUAACUUGCCGAAGAUCCACACGGAGGCGAAUGUCUCCUGAUUUCUUGUAGGUAACGAUGAUUGGCGAAACCCAUUCUCAUUCAUCAAUACGCUCUAUGGUGCCAGCUUUCUCUAGACGUUUCAGUUCCACGGAAACCUUAUCCCGAGUUGCAAAGGGUAGUCUGCGUAACCAUUGUUGCACUGGCGGAACAUCAGGUUUGACUUUGACACAGUGUGCGAACCCACGAGCAGUGCCAAUAUUGUUUAGAAACAACUUCGGAAACUCAGUGCAAAGGGAAUCCACAUAUUUGGUAGCAUUCACAGAUGAUGUAGAUGUAUUGGGAUCAGGAGGUUCUGGGGACAACUGACGAGCCAUUCAAGGUGAGCUGGAGUGACCGGAUAAGAUCAAACUCAAGAACUGGAUCACCGUUGUCCACAAUGUAGAAAUUUCCUUUCACCACAGUAUCAGUUUUAUCAGAAAGACGAACCAUGGUGCCGAUGUACCCGAGCACGGUAAUUGGUUCACGUAGGGCAAUCUUUUGCGUUAUAUCGCCAUACUCCCCCCCGAAACGUGCAACAACUGAAGCAGUUUACCUAGACGGGAAGGCUAUACCAAUGCCAUGCCAGGCUUCUUCUCCCACCUUUAGGCAUCAUGAACAUUGACGGCCAGAUCACGCGUUACUUCAGACUCGGCUGCACCCAUCUUCAAGUUGCUGCAACUUUAGCAACAGUCCAUGCAUGCUAUGGAGUGAGCGCACCCUACAACGAAAGCCUGAGGCAUAUUGGACUGUAUCGUCGGAAGAAUUAAUCUGACCAAGCGGAUAUUGUAAGGUUCCUUCAAGAAAGGUUUAUUCAUCUUAGAUUACUUCAGGAGGGUUUCGUUGUAGGUAGACGUUGUAGACAUAGAGUGCGGAUAUUGUUACACUUAGCAAAAGGUGCCGGCUGGUGCGUCGCAGAUACAGUGGGCGACGACCAAACUUUAUUUGGCACAUAGACUCAUAAUUAUGACAAACUCAUGCCAUACGGAAUGGGCAUCAGUGGGUGUAUUGAUGGUUUCUCUCGAAAAAAUAAUUGUUGGAAACAAACAUCACUUCGAAUGACCCUCAAUUUAUUGGGGGCUUUUUCAUUCAAUGCCAUCUAAACAUUAUGGCGACUGCCUGUCUUUAGGACUGAUCUUAAGACGGAGAAUGGACAUGUACUUAAUUUUCAAAGAUUCCUUAGGGUCGAUGGGGAUCGGUCUAGCGGUGGACGUAGGUACAGCUUCAUUACUGGGAAGAGUACUGCUGACCAAUGCAUCUAGUGUUGGUAAAAACAACUGAAGAAAGAAUACACCGAGUUCUGUUUUGGGUGACUUUAUUUCGAUGCAUAAAGGAUGACGGUUACUUCUUCGGGAGACAGUUUGGACAAAGGGCUGAUUUGAUUCACAUUCAUGAGAAUGAUACAUUAUUGGUCAAUCCAUUUUUCGAUGUAAAUGUCAGCCAAAGUCAUUUUUGUCUUACGAAGAUUAAGAGUUCAUCAACUUUUCUUCGGCGCAAAGGAUUCAAAUAAAUUGUUUAUUCAAGGUUACUUCCUGUAAAGAUAGGAUGAUCUGGACAAAAUAGCGGAGCUGUGACCACGUUUGAGCUUCCACAGUUGUGCAAUACCCCAGACAGCCUGAAACCAGUGAAUCAGGGUAGAGUGGAUGUGGGUAAGGAGGAAUCCCUCUUCAAAGACAACUACCCUUGCGAUGAGGACCUCUUCUAGUUUGCAUGUUUACUGAUGAAAGCCGCUGGCCGCAGGGCCCCAAUACCCCAGAACAGGCUGUCCAUUUGUACAUUGAUCUAAAAAGACACCUACGAAGAGCUUAAGCGUGAUCCUGUGAAUUAAUACCUCAUGUUCCAUCUGAACAUAAAGGACUGAAAGGCGCACUUCUAUUAGAGCAUGACUCUGGCAUGACAAGUCUCUAGCAGUACAUGUAUAGUAGGGGGCAAACAGAAUUAAGGAUCACUGUCACUUGUGAGACUCAUCAGAUAAAUAAAGAAGGCCAAUGAACAUAAAACUUUAAUACUCAACAAACCUUUAAGAACAGGAAGAUGUAAAGGGAACCCUCCGAGGAAGCACCUGUGUCAGUUUUUAACACAGUUAGGCAUCUUGUGACCAAAGAGGUUCAAAUCUAUUUGCAGUUAAUGAUCUCAUGAUUAAAUGUCUGUUUCUUUUAAAAAUAAAUCAGACGGGGCCUUCCUAGGAAGACUUCUCAGUA